AUGGACACGGUCACCGCGACCAUGUUACGCUCACCGCACCCGCGCCCUGCAUCCUGGCCGCCUAGUGCGCGUCCUGGCCGUGCCGACACGCCCUCUGUCCGCAGCACAGGCCACUCGGCCCGCGCCCUGACCGGCGCCCGACCGUGCUCGCGCGUGGCCGCGCCCAUCCGCUGCCGCGCUGCUGCUUCCGGCCGCCGCUGCCGCUGCUUUGUUUUAGCUGUUGUCGCUGCCUUGUUCUGUUACUUGCAGCGGGGCUGCUCUGCUUGCCACUGCGUGCACUCCUGCUUGCUGCGGCCUACUGCGUUGCUGCUUGCCUCGCGCCCAUGGCUGCUACUGCCGCAGGCUGCUGUUGUUGGAGCUGGCCAUGGCGCUCUCGAACCACCACCUCCCGCUUAUGGGCCGCGGCCCAUGGGGCGCCAUAACCGCCUCCAUCCAAGUCGGGGCGCACAGCCCGGCCCGAUCCCGACGCGAAGGCCUGCCGCAAGAAGGAAGGGGGAGACCGACGCGAAGAGGAGAGGAGAAAAAAGAUCUCAAUUGAUCGCCUCCGCCGCUACACAUCCACGCCGUCGAGAAGCACUUCGGCACCGCUGCGGCCGAACCGGUGCCGCCGCGGCCGGCAGCGACGACUUCGGUGGCCUCUUCUCCGCCGACACCGCCGACCAACUCGCCCUCGAGUUCCCCACCUGCAACCACGUGCGUGACCCAUCCCCUCCCUCAAUCCCCUUCUCUCUCCGCCGGCCUCUUAUCCGUUUGCGCCCCGUUUUCGUUUCCCGGUGGCAGUUCGAUGGGUUCCAGAAGGCGACCAAGGAGAUGGUGAGCAACAAGAAUGGGACGAACACGCUCUCCUUCAUCUUCGACAAGGCGUCAUCGUCGCCGCCGACUCCCGAGCCAGCAUGGGCGGGUACACAUGUGAGUCCCCUGUCCCUUGGCCUCGCAUUCGUGCUAGGGUUUGGUGCUGCGGGGAUUCGAUUUGCUGGCGUGGACGCGUGA
RNAcentral lists this ribosomal RNA (990 nucleotides) under Triticum aestivum (bread wheat). Its description in RNAcentral is "partial small subunit ribosomal RNA". The record is from RNAcentral. Lineage: Eukaryota; Viridiplantae; Streptophyta; Magnoliopsida; Poales; Poaceae.